This is a long non-coding RNA of Piliocolobus tephrosceles (Ugandan red Colobus), 2077 nucleotides long. Lineage: Eukaryota; Metazoa; Chordata; Mammalia; Primates; Cercopithecidae. The record is from Ensembl.
UAACCAAUGUAAGUACCUUUCCCAAAAUGGAUAUAUACACAUAAAAAAAGAAAAUAGUAAUAUUCUUUCCCAAACCGAUUAUCAUAGAAUUAUGAAUUUUAUUUUUAAUUUAUUAACAGAAUUAAAAAAUUUAUUACUAUCCAAUGAUAAUGUUGACAAAGCAAUAUUCUCUAUAACAAACUUUAUUGAAUUAAGCUUUUAUAACAUCUUAGAAAAAUCAAUUAAAAUAUUAUUGUUAUUAUUAAUAAAAGCUAAAUAUAACAGUAUUUUAAAUUUAAUGAUAAAACAUAAGGAUUUAAUAUUUUUUUAUUUUACUUGGGAAACAAAGAUUAAGUACGAAAAGAAAAUAUGUUUGAAAGAUUUAAUAAAUGUUUUUGAAAAUAUAAUCAAAGAAUAUUAUAAUUGUGCUAAUGAAGAAGAUAGUAGUAACAAUACUCUCGAAAACGAAGUUUUAUUAACAAUUUUGCAAAAUGGUUUAAAUGUGAUUGAAUUUUUGCUUCUUUUAAAGACGCACGACUGUUAUCAGAUUAUUUCGCAUUUUAUCGAGGUCAUACUUUCAAAAAAGAUAAGCGAAAAUAACGUAGAAUGCAAACUGGACAUAUGUUGUAAAGUGUUGAACCACAUGAAGAAGACAAAAUUAGUUUUUGUUAAUUUAGAGAAUUUUUUGCUAAAUAUAUAUGAAUAUUAUAUAUUUUCAAAUAUAUAUAACAUUGCUUAUAGGACUUCAAAUAGUAGUAAAUGUACUUAUAUGUUUAUGCAUAAUUACCAUAAAUAUGAAACUAGUAAAGCAAUUAUGAAAACAUAUUAUGACACAUUAUAUGAAAUAAAAAAAAGCAAACAACUGAUUUUAAGUAAUACAUUCUAUAAAACUAUGUUUUAUAUUUAUAAAAAAAAAAUGUUAAUAACACAACAACCUCCUGAUAUAUAUUUCGGUCAAUUUAUUUUGAAAAUGUAUUUUGAAUCAGGAUUAUUCGAAAAAAAUGAUUCUCUUAACAAUAGUGAUUAUAACUUUAUUAUUAACAACAAACAAAGUAAUAAUAGAAACAUGUUAAACGAUUUAUAUUUAUAUUUUCUAUUACCCAUUUAUUUGAAUGUUAAAAAUGUAUAUAUAGAGCAAUAUAACAAUGAUAUAUUUCAAACGAUACAAAAAAAUAUAAUAUAUUAUAUUUUAAAUUUAAUGAAAUCUAUUUAUAAUUAUUGUCGAAAUUUAAACCAGGAAUUAAAUAAAAAUGAAUGUUAUAGUUUAAGCAUAUUUGAAAAACAUUACACAUUUGAUGGAAUAAGAACUACACGUAAGGUUAGUUUUAUUGAUACAUGUGAUGAUAAUAAUAAAAAUGUGGAUGGACAAGGUGAUCACUUAGGUGUUUGGGUUGGUAUAAAUGUAGGGAAGGGUGAAAUGGUAAAACUUAAUGAAGAGAUCGAAACAGGUUCAACACAAAUCCAUUUUGAACUGAUGAACUACAAUGAUGGACAUAUAAGAAAAAUGAACAUUAUACAAAAAUAUACAGAAUAUUAUAAAACAAGGUCGACUUCACACAACAUCCAUGAUCAUAAUUUCAAUAAUGGCGAUGUUAUUUCUGAUGAUUAUGAUGGAAAUGGGUUUAUUAGUGAUAUAAAACAUAAUGCAGUAAUCUAUAAAUAUGACAAAGGUAACAACAAUGACAACAGCAACAGUAGUGACAGCAAUAGUAGUAACAGCAACAGUGAUAACAGCAACAGUGACAACAGCAACAGUGACAACAGCAACAGUGACAACAGCAACAGUGGUAACAGCAACAGUAGUAACAAACCGAGCACAUUUGAGUUUGUUUUAUUUUUAAACAAAUGGGACGUACUAAGCUCAAGCUACAUAUUAAGAUUGUUAAACAUUUAUAACAUUUAUUAUAAUAGCACAAAUGUUGUAUUUAGUUUUAAAAAUUUUAAAAAAUUUAUUUUAUACUGUUUUAGCGAUUUAUUUAGUUGGGACAUACUGAAUGAUCGAAAAGAAGAUACAAUAAAUGGAAACGUAGGAAGAGAAAAUGGAAAAAAAGAUACAAAAGGCGACAAAAUAGACAAAAUGGACAAAAUGGACAAAAUG